Molecule: long non-coding RNA, 963 nt
Organism: Oreochromis aureus
Lineage: Eukaryota; Metazoa; Chordata; Actinopteri; Cichliformes; Cichlidae
Source: Ensembl
GUUGCUUUGUUUCUGCUUAGCAACUCCUGAGGUAAAAGGUCUUAAAGAUAAAUAUGCAAUAAGUGAACAGGAAAUGUGUGAAGGUGAGCCGGGUGAAACAAAAUGUUGUAGAUAAUGGAAACUUUGUAAUGAAUGAAUGCAAAACAUGCUUACAGACACAAACAUGACAGGGGUUUAUUUUACAGGGUAAAGGUGGACCACAGGUUGCUUUGUUUCUGCUUAGCAACUACUGAGGUAAAUGGUGUUAAAGAUAAAUAUGCAAUAAGUGAACAAGAAAUGUGUGAGGGUGAGCCGGGUGAAACAAAAUGUUGUAGAUAAUGGAAACUUGUCUAACGGGCAUUAACAGUAACCUUUGCAUGUUAUGUAUAUGCUUGAGGCCAAAGGAGGCAUAAAUCCAGAUAGAAAACUUUGAAGUGUGCUUUUUAGCGGAGAUUUAGGCUGACAGGGGGAUGGUGUAUAUUUUACCCGGGGUGUGUUUAAUAAAAAAACUAAAAGCGUUGCUCACACACAUAAAGAAAAUACAUAAGUGAAAUCAAAUGCAAUGUAUGAUUUCACUUUUAUUGGGAAACAAUCAGGCUAGAAAUGUGAGUAACCUAUGUUUAAACUGUGAAAACACUCUCCACAUACAUUAAAACUGUGCAACUCUGAGUGGGCAAUGUAAUGAAGCAACUGUUACAUAUCUGUAUUAAACUAGCCAACAUAGACUCACCACCACAUGAUGUUGCCCUGCAGCGGGGGCAGAAAAUCAUUUCCAAACCAGGGAUCUUAUGUUGAUUAUCAUAUUCUUACUUAUGUACACACACACACACAGAAGGGAAAAAAUUUCAAAACAAAACAAAAAACAACUUCGCUUAACCUGUCAAGCACAGGAGCAAAAUAAAAAUCUCUUUGGGCUCUGUUAAAAUUUCUUUAGUAAAAGUGUAAAAGGCCAAACCUAGGAGGUUGGGCAACCCGGAAAGUCCC